UGACGCGCGCGAGCCUUCAGUCCGCUUCGGCACGCGCUCAGCUCGGAUCCGUCCAGAGCAACAUGCAGGAUGGCGAGUGUGGAGACAGCCGCCGAACACGAACGCAUCCUGCGGGAGAUCGAGAGCACCGACACCAACUGCAUCGGACCGACCCUCCGGUCGGUGUAUGACGGCCAGGAGCAUGGCCUCUUCAUGGAGAAGCUGGACGUGCGGAUCAGGAACCACGACCGCGAGAUCGAGAAGAUGUGCAACCACCACUUCCAGGGGUUCGUCGACUCCAUCACGGAGCUGCUCAAAGUCAGAGGGGAGGCACAGAAGCUGAAGAGUCAGGUGACCGAGACCAACGGGCGUCUUCAGGAUGACGGCAAAGAGCUCAUGGGCUCCAUGGAGGAGCUGCAGAAGUGCCGCGUGCAACAGAGGAACAUCGCCUCCACCAUAGACAAGCUGUCGCACUGCUUGCCAGUCCUGGAGAUGUACAGCAGACUUCAGGAGCAGAUGAGGGCCAAAAGGUACUACCCGGCGCUGCGGACCUUGGAGCUGCUGGAGCACACGUGUCUCCCCCGGGCGGGUCAGUACCGGUUCUGCUCCAUCAUGGCGGAAAACAUCCCCAUGCUGAGGACCCAGAUCCGGGACACGGCGAUGACGCAGCUGAGAGACUUCCUGGAGAGCAUCCGGAAACACUCGGACAAGAUCGGAGAGACGGCCAUCCGACAGGCCCAGAUGCAGCGCUCGCUGGACACGCAGCCGAGGGCCCCCAUUGGCCGGCGCAGCAGAAAGGAGGCGGCGGCGGCGGCGGCGGACGGCGGCGGGCAGCGCGGCAGUCCGGUGUCGGAACAGGACUCCGGCAUUCUGGAUGUGGAGGACGAAGAGGACGAUGAGGUGCCGGGUGCUCAGGACUUGGUGGAUUUCUCCCCCGUUUACCGCUGUCUGCACAUCUACACGGUGCUGGGUUUGCGUGACGUGUUUGAGAACUACUACAGGAAGCAGAGGAGGAAACAGGCUCGCCUCGUGCUGCAGCCGCACUCUAACAUGCAUGAAACUCUGGAGGGAUACAGGCGGUACUUCAAUCAGAUUGUCGGCUUCUUCGUGGUAGAGGACCACGUCCUUCACACCACCCAGGGUUUGGUCAACCGGGCGUACGUGGAGGAGCUGUGGGAGCUGGCGCUGUCCAAGCUCAUCGCCGCCCUGAGGACGCACUCUUCGUACUGCGACAACCCCGACCUGGUCCUGGAUCUGAAGAAUCUCAUUGUGCUUUUUGCAGACACGCUGCAGGGUUAUGGCUUCCCGGUGUCGCAGCUGUUCGACAUGCUGCUGGAGAUGAGGGAGCAGUACGGGGAAAUCCUGCUCAAGCGGUGGAACGUCACUUUCAGGCAGGUGUUGGACCAGGACAACUUCAGUCCAAUCCCCGUGUCCACGGAAGAGGAGUACAAACACUACACUGCCCAGUUUCCUCUGCAAGACCCCGAACUGGACAAGCUUCCUUUCCCCAAGAAGCUUCCCUUCUCAGAGUUUGUGCCAAAAGUCUACUGCCAGCUCAAAGAGUUCAUCUACGCUUGCCUGAAAUACUCUGAAGACCUUCAUCUCAGCUCCACCGAGGUGGAUGAUAUGAUCCGCAAGUCCACGAAUCUCCUGCUGACCAGAACGCUCAGCCACUGUCUGCAGUACGCCAUCAAGAAGAAGAAUGUCGGGCUGGCGGAGUUGGUGCAGGUGAUCAUAAACACCACGCACCUGGAGCAGAGCUGCCACUUCCUGGAGGAGUUCAUAUCGAACAUCACCAACGUCCCGCCCGACUCGGCCAACGCCACCAAGCUGUACGGGACCUCCACCUUCAAGGACGCUCGCCACGCGGCCGAGGCCGAGAUCUACACCAACCUCAACGCCAAGAUCGACCAGUUCCUGCAGCUGGCUAAUUACGAUUGGAUGGCCGCGGCGCCGGGAGGCGGGGCUCUGGAGGCCAGCGACUACCUGGUGGACCUGAUCGCUUUCCUGAAGAGCACCUUCAGCGUCUUCACCAACCUGCCUGGUAAAGUGGCCCAGACGGCCUGCAUGUCAGCCUGUAAACACAUCUCCACCUCCCUGACGGAGCUCCUGCUGGACCCGGAGGUCAGACAGAUCUCCAUCGGCGCUCUGCACCAGCUCAACGCCGACGUGCAGGAGUGCGAGGCUGCUGGAGCUCUUCACCCAGUGGGACUGGUCGGCCUACCUGGCUGAUUACGGCAAACCCAGCUGCAAAUACCUGAGGGUCAACCCGCACACGGCGCUGGUCCUGCUGGAGAAGUUAUUUAAGCCGUAAGUAUCCUCUGCUGUGUGUGUGUGUGUGUGUGUGUUCACAUGGUUAGACGCACGCACACCUGCCGCCUCCGAACGAUAAUCUUUGUGACGUGACGAUACCGAUGUUUAUCGCCACGGCAACGCCCGCAUUGUGUAGAUCCUGUGGAGAUAGCAACAAAGUACACACAGUUUUUGGAUCCAGUGCCUCCCCCCCUCCCCCCCUCCUCCCCCCUCCUCCUCCUCCAGAGGCCCGGUGGUCCCUCUGUCCCCCAGAGGAAGCACGCGCUGGGGCCCCCGGACCUCCUGGAGGUCCUUAACAGUCCAGUGUUCUGCGACCAAACACACAGCGUGUCAUGUGACACCGAGCGCGCACACACACACAUCCUUUUCUUCUCUAACGGGAUGUUGGACUAAUAAGUGCUGGUUUGUGUACUUACAGCAUUCAAACACGGAACGUUUACUGAGAUGUGGGAAUCGCUCAUUUAUGUCUACUUGCUCCUCUUUGUCCUACGUCCA
Molecule: non-coding RNA, 2787 nt
Organism: Gasterosteus aculeatus aculeatus (three-spined stickleback)
Lineage: Eukaryota; Metazoa; Chordata; Actinopteri; Perciformes; Gasterosteidae
Source: RefSeq, a predicted model, not a curated record